RNAcentral lists this transfer RNA (73 nucleotides) under Fibrobacterales bacterium. RNAcentral describes it as "tRNA-Arg". It matches the Rfam family "tRNA". Rfam says of the family: Transfer RNA (tRNA) molecules are approximately 80 nucleotides in length. Lineage: Bacteria; Pseudomonadati; Fibrobacterota; Fibrobacteria; Fibrobacterales. The record is from RNAcentral.
GCCUCCAUAGCUCAACUGGAUAGAGCACGGGUUUCCUAAACCUGUUACCCAAGUUCGACUCUUGGUGGGGGUA